UACGGGAGGCAGCAGUGAGGAAUAUUGGUCAAUGGGCGAGAGCCUGAACCAGCCAAGUAGCGUGCAGGAAGACGGCCCUAUGGGUUGUAAACUGCUUUUAUACAGGGAUAAAGUCGGGGACGCGUUCCCCGUUUGCAGGUACUGUAUGAAUAAGGACCGGCUAAUUCCGUGCCAGCAGCCGCGGUAAU
This 188-nucleotide ribosomal RNA is filed under the name uncultured rumen bacterium. RNAcentral describes it as "partial 16S ribosomal RNA". It matches the Rfam family "Bacterial small subunit ribosomal RNA", at positions 340 to 524 of the family's 1533-position model. The record is from RNAcentral.